Long non-coding RNA from Mugil cephalus (flathead mullet), 2087 nucleotides. RefSeq lists it as uncharacterized. The transcript is spliced from 3 exons. The record is from RefSeq and is a predicted model, not a curated record. NCBI's taxonomy places the organism in Eukaryota, Metazoa, Chordata, Actinopteri, Mugiliformes, Mugilidae.
GCGGGGUUAAGGUGUGUGUGUGGUGCAGUCGUCCAGGUGACACCCUCUGUGGAGGAUUCAUUCUGGAGAGUCAAAGAGGAGGACACAGAAACAUCAGCCUGAGUUUAAACGAACUCUAGAGGAACAUUAAUUUGACUGAAGAUGAACUCUUUACGGAUAAACCUCUCUCAGCAAUCAGCUUCGUUCGUCAGCCUGUGUGAACAAAAUGAAUCCAGGAUAAGACAGAGUGUAUUCAGGCUUCAGGACAUCGCUGCUACAGUCAAAGACGUCCAGAAUGAAAAAGACAGAGGUAUUAUGGUAGGAGGGUUUGUAGCAGUACUCGUAGCGUUCGCAGCGAUAUUACUAGCACCUGUAACUGAAGGUGUGAGUUUAGGGUUCGCUGUGGUCGCUGCUCUUGUAGGAGGCUUAGUUGCUGUUAGUUUUACGAUAAAGAUGAAAAAUAUAGAACAAGAACAAGUUAGAAAAAUGAUUCCAUUCUCAGAAGAGUUCCAGAUGAUGGUUAGACCACUGAAGAACAUGCUGGAACCUGUAAAAACUGCAUGUGGAGCUCUUAGGAGGGAACAUGUCGGAGCUCAAGCUUUACCGCUCAUCAGGCUGGAAAUCGACAUCCUGGAGCUGAUCUUCAUCACCGAGCAGCUCCAAACCUCAGCAGUUAUUCUCUGUGGCACAGAUAAACAUUACAUCACAGAAGUAACUAACAAGUAUGAGAAGGUUUGUAAUGACUUCAUGAGGAUGAAAACACGCCUCCAGAUGUUUCACAUCCAGUGAAAGACUUUAAUUUCCUCAGACUGUUUAUUACCUAUGAACGAUGUCAAUCAUUUAUCCAAGGAAACCAGAGAGCAAAGGUCAUGAAGACUCGAUCUUCAGAGUCUGUUCACAUGAUUAAACUUUAUGUCUGUCACUGUAUAAUCAACAGAAACUAUAAGUUCAUUAUGUCGCGGGCUCAUCUGGUUGAACUGGUUUGGUCGUGGUCUUCCCUGUCUUCAGUUUUUAUGUUGUUUCCUGAAUCUGUCAUGUUGAUGUUUUAUUUCUCCCUUAGUCCACACUGAUAAUAUCAUUCCAUUUAUUGCGUUAGUCUGUUUAUUGGUUUCAAACUGAUGUGUAACUUCCUGGUUUGGUUUGUGUGUUCAUCAUUCUUAGUUUAAAAUGAAACAUGUUUUUCUGUCACAUGUACUAGUGUCACAGCGUCAACAGAUUCAUUUGGUCCCAAAGAUGUAAAAACAUCCUGAGUUCUGUUUUCUUUCCUCUUCCUUAGUUAAAAAGACAUGAUGAGAUUUAGUGAGAUGAAAUGAGAUGAGACUGAAGUAAAUGACCAUAUAUAUUACUGGUUGAGCAGAGACUUUAGAAAGUGAUUUAAAUUAGAUUUUUGCAUCAUAUCAGCUGUUUUUAAAUGAGACCCAGUAAUGAAGUGUCUGGAACAAACAUCUGGAACUAUAUUAGAAAACAGCACCAGACGAGUCUUUGUUCUCUUAACUCACUAAAUAUCCAGUCUAGAUGAGACGGAUCUCUGCAGACGUUUCUAAACGGGCCGUGACUAAUUCCUGGUAAUUCAUUGUGUCCCAGUCGACACCUGAAGUCAAACUCAGGAAGUCAGAGACGAGUCAGAACCAGGAACCAGGAACCAGAACCCUAUGUUGGACGCUUCUCAAACAGCUGCUGCAGCGUCUUGUGUGUUAUUGGAAGGACACCGGAGGUUUACAAAGAGAAAACGCUGCAGAGACCAGCCGACGACCCAGAGUCAGAAACUCAUUUUGAUUCAGGGGCCACAUUCAGCCAAUAAGUAACUUCAGGUGUUUCCAUGUAGAGUGAAGACGAACAAGGGAAUUAGGAGAACGUUUAUAUUUAAUAACAUAUCCUUUAAAAAAUAUGUAAUUCCUGAAUGAAAUAAUGGAGAAAUUAGGAAUAGAAGUUAUUUUCAUAUGAAAACUGCAGUUUUCUAUUAUAUAAACAGUAAUGACUAUGAACACAUGAAAAUAUAACACAAAAUGUUGAUUCAUCAUCUAGUUGGACACAUUUAUUCUUCAUCAAAUAUAUUUCAAACCAGGUCGUGUGGUUUUUGUGUUGUGUGUUUCUGCUCUGUAGAGUUG